Molecule: long non-coding RNA, 3212 nt
Organism: Lycium barbarum (goji berry)
Lineage: Eukaryota; Viridiplantae; Streptophyta; Magnoliopsida; Solanales; Solanaceae
Exons: 3
Source: RefSeq, a predicted model, not a curated record
UUGAAGCCUCACGUCUCUUAAUUGCCCUCCAUCUCCUUCUUUUCCCUCGCUUUCACCAUUUCAGCCUUUCAGGUAUGUUUCAGUGAACUAAACACCUUCUUCUUUCUUCUACUUUUAGAUUUUCACUUUCCCCAAGUUUUUCACUCGCCUGUCUCUACACCUAUGUACGUUCGCCUUCAUUGAUCUUUUCUGCCCCUCUGAUCACAAUUCGAUGCUUUAGACGGUUUUCUUGAGGAACCGUUGCUUAAAUUUUCCUAUUCUUUUACCAAGUUACCGUGAGGGUUGUUUUCAGUUUCUUUUUUUCCCAGCUUCAGUUCUAAUUGCACAGAAUGCAGUGAAGAAACCAACAUAGGAGGUAUUCGCCGAGGAAAAUAUCCUCUUUCUCGCUUUCGACAUUUAUUUGGUUAGUAUUUCAUGUUUCUCUGUGUCUAUUCAUUAAUGAUUAUAGAUUCCAAGGGAUACAUUCAUUAACGAUCAUAGAUUCCAAGGUCAACCACUUGACUGUAUAACACUGGUUUCCUCUGCUUUGUUGUACGUAUGGUUUUUCGUUUCUCUUUCUUUUUCUUUUUAAUUUUGGUGAUUGAAUCACUUCAUAUGUAUAUAUCUUGACUAAUAUAUUGUCCUCUUCUUAAAUAUCAAUAUCUAUAUCAUUUUUUUGCCACCUUCUCCCUUUUUCCUUUUUUUCCCCCUUAUUCUCUUCAUUCAACUUGAUUGUUGAAAGCCCAAAAACCAUUAAAUGAACAUUAACUAAAGCAAUUAUAACCCUUGAUGGGUCAUAAAAAAAGGAAAAUGGAAACUGAAAAGAUUCAUCAAUUAUGGAUUUAUAAUUUACACUAAAACCUUCAUAUUUAAGAUUACAAUGUCACCAAGACAGAGAGGAAAUUAACGGAGGAAGAAAAAUUAGUCGCAUCAAGAAGUUCUGCCAGUAAAAAGCCUCAUGUUCGAUUAAGUUUUCCCUCUUUCUUUUCUCAUCUUGGGGCUUAUAUUGUUUUUCGUCAUAGUCACCGAGCUUAUAUUGUUUUUGUGUCAAAAUCACCGGAGCGACAAGCGCGAAGCAGAUCUUUUCAAAGCAAUUAACGACUCAAACCAGAGAUCCCGGUGAAGCUUCUAGAUGAGGCGACACUCCCUUUUCAUGCUAUGUCAUAUAGAGCGAGAAUGGGACUAUGAUUGCCGGAUAUUACAGUACAUAUAUUUUCGUUGUUUCAAAAAAAUUCCAAUUCUUUAAAUAAUAGUUAAGUACAAUAUUUUGAUUAUUGAAUAAAUUUCUUAGCUGGUUAUAUUAUUGGUUAUUUGAUUGUUGAAUAAUAGUGAGUUCCUUAUUUUAAAAAAUGUGAUUCUUUUCAUGAUGCUAAUACCUUUAUUGAGUUUCAUUGGUUCCUAAAAUUUAUGUGCGACUAAAACAUGUAGAUUAUGAGAUUUGACUAUAUUUUAUUGAGGUUCAAUUCUUUAAGUUGUAUGAUCCGAAAACUUUACAUGUAAUAACUAUGAACUUACUAAUAUCUUUCAAGAUUGUGAAACACGGACAAAUACACUAUUAUACCUAUAAUCUAAAUGAAAAAGAAAAUGAAUAGUUUCAUCACGAAAUACUACUAUUGAUGUUAUUAUAACCAAGUAUAAAGUUAAAUUAAAAUAAUCAUAUGAAGUGUACUCUUUUCAUUUAUUCCCUUCCAUAAAAAGUUUGAAAUAGAAGAAAAAUUAGUCAUUUCCCCCCCUUAAUGUGGGCUCUUUUGAUCUACUCUUUCAAUUUUCGUCCGAAUGUAAGUUGUUUGAUUUACUCUUUCACCUUUUGUGUUCUCUUUUAUAGCUUAUUUAAUUUCAAAACUAAAUAAUUUCAGUGGUUUCAGGUGAAACUAUGAGAUUCCUGAAGUCAUAGCUAAAUAGGUUUGUUCAUGGCAUCACAACCUAGAUUAAAACAAUUAUUGCCCUCUUUAAGGCAACGGGAUAAAUCAUCGGUCCUGCAGUCAUGGAUGCUGCCUUCUAUUGACGUGAAGGUGUUCUUUUGCAUAUAUUGUAAUGGUUCAGGUAAAACACUCAAAAGGUUAGUUGCCUUUCUCUAUGUGGAAUAAUAAAGAACUUUCAAGGUUACAAUACAACAACUCAUAUAGAGCAAUGUAAUCGUCCUUUGUCUUUUCAAAAGAAUACAAUGUCUGUCAUGCUUCAUUAAGCAGGCAAAUGAAAUUCAAACUAUCAAGUAAUGUCCAGAUUUAUUUGUCAGUUCCAUCUUAACUUCUGAAUUUCCAUAUGCAAGUACGAAUAAAGCAAUUUGCUUUUUUUCCAAUACUCCAUUACUCAAGUAUUCAUGUUGUGCUGGACACAAUUAUACUUUGAGAAAUGAUAAUUUCUUUUUCAAGAAAACAUCCUAAAACAAAACAUCCUAUUAUCUGUUUCAGAUUUUAUUUGUCGAGAGCCAAGAGUGAAAUUAGGCUCAACUGGUUGAUGUUAUAUAGAAGGAGAAAUUGCCGGAGGUUGUGGACCAAGAUUAGAGUUUUAGACUUAAUUUCUUAAACAAGAGGUACUACCAUGCCGAAUUCACUUUCUUUUUUUUACUUUAAUUUUUUCUAACAGAGUCAAAUUGGGAAGAUGAAUCUGUUCAGUCGCGACUUGAGGAGAGAUCCUUUAAGUUUGUUUGGAGUUAUUAACAACAUGACACAAGAGAAUACAGAUACACAAGACUUGUUUUUCCAUCAUUCUGCUACCAAUUUCAGUUGCCUACGACACAAGCGUACAAUCGAUUAGAAUGCAGGUCUCCAACUGUAAAUUCAAUUAGUAACCAUCCAAGCAACAAUGAAGGAUUUGCCAACGUGAGACACUGGUGAAAUAGGGAACAGUCCUACAAUAAAAGUUGCAGAGACUGUAAAGGCUUUAUAAAAUGUGUGACAAGAAACAAAGAAAUCUUAUUAACUUUUGUUGAAAGAAAAACCCAUGAGACCAUUGGAACAAACUCAAUUAGUAAAGUGGGGAAGGUCUAUGAAAAAUGCUUAUAAGCAUCACAUAGUCUAAGCAAAUUAAUGUGUAUCAAUCUGUUUCUGAUCCGUGAAUCAGUUGUAUAUCAUUCUUAAGUUAACGCAUUCAAAAGAAUAUGCAAUUUUUAUGAUUUUAAGUAGAAAACAUUCAACUUAUCGAGCAAACCAAAAAUCAUUUUUGUUGCUCUAAAAAAAAACUGUUGCUCUUGCAUUUGCUCCAAAUGCAUUACCUCCAAUUGGAAACUUGUA